Molecule: ribosomal RNA, 301 nt
Filed under: uncultured bacterium
Lineage: Bacteria
Description: partial 16S ribosomal RNA
Rfam family: Bacterial small subunit ribosomal RNA
Source: RNAcentral
CAGUCGCCGCGGUAAAACGGAGGGUGCAAGCGUUAAUCGGAAUUACUGGGCGUAAAGCGUGCGCAGGCGGUCCGUUAAGACAGAUGUGAAAUCCCCGGGCUUAACCUGGGAACUGCAUUUGUGACUGGCGAGCUAGAGUAUGGCAGAGGGGGGUAGAAUUCCACUGUAGCAGUGAAAUGCGUAGAGAUGUGGAGGAAUACCGAUGGCGAAGGCAGCCCCCUGGGCCAAUACUGACGCUCAUGCACGAAAGCGUGGGGAGCAAACAGGAUUAGAUACCCCCGUAGUCCCUGUCUCUUAUACA